This is a long non-coding RNA of Sinocyclocheilus anshuiensis, 147 nucleotides long. RefSeq lists it as uncharacterized. NCBI's taxonomy places the organism in Eukaryota, Metazoa, Chordata, Actinopteri, Cypriniformes, Cyprinidae. The transcript has 3 exons. The record is from RefSeq and is a predicted model, not a curated record.
AGACCUCUCUCCUACCCCUGCUGAACAGGCUUCUAUUUUGUCCUUGGUCACUAAGAUUAACAACGUCAUUGACAACCUCAUCGUGGCACCUGGAAACUUUGAAGUGCAAAUUGAGGAAGUAAGGCAAGUGGGCUCGUAUAAAAAGGG